This 490-nucleotide ribosomal RNA is filed under the name uncultured Alphaproteobacteria bacterium. RNAcentral describes it as "bacterial SSU rRNA". It matches the Rfam family "Bacterial small subunit ribosomal RNA", at positions 1 to 524 of the family's 1533-position model. Lineage: Bacteria; Pseudomonadati; Pseudomonadota; Alphaproteobacteria. The record is from RNAcentral.
UAGAGUUUGAUUCUGGCUCAGAACGAACGCUGGCGGCAUGCCUAACACAUGCAAGUCGAACGAAGGCUUCGGCCUUAGUGGCGCACGGGUGCGUAACGCGUGGGAAUCUGCCCUUAGGUUCGGAAUAACAGCUGGAAACGGCUGCUAAUACCGGAUGAUAUCGCGAGAUCAAAGAUUUAUCGCCUGAGGAUGAGCCCGCGUUGGAUUAGGUAGUUGGUGGGGUAAAGGCCUACCAAGCCGACGAUCCAUAGCUGGUCUGAGAGGAUGAUCAGCCACACUGGCACUGAGAUACGGGCCAGACUCCUACGGGAGGCAGCAGUAGGGAAUAUUGGGCAAUGGGCGAGAGCCUGACCCAGCCAUGCCGCGUGCCGGAUGAAGGCCUUCUGGGUUGUAAACGGCUUUUCUCAGGGAAGAAAACGACCAUGCGUGGUACACUGACGGUACCUGAGGAAUAAGCACCGGCUAACUCCGUGCCAGCAGCCGCGGUAAU